CCCUUAGAUGUUCUGGGCUGCACGCGCGCUACACUGAAGCGUUCAACGAGUAUUCACCUUGCCCGGGAGGGUUGGGUAAUCUUUUGAAAACGCUUCGUGAUGGGGAUAGAUUAUUGCAAUUAUUAAUCUUCAACGAGGAAUUCCUAGUAAGCGCGAGUCAUCAGCUCGUGCUGAAUACGUCCCUGCCCUUUGUACACACCGCCCGUCGCUCCUACCGAUCGAAGAGUUAGGUGAAUUGUUUUGAUCGAUAAGAUUUGACUAUGGUCAACUCUCGUUGUGAAAUUCUGUGAAUCUGACUGUUUAGAGGAAGGAAAAGUCGUAACA
This 324-nucleotide ribosomal RNA is filed under the name uncultured eukaryote. RNAcentral describes it as "partial 18S ribosomal RNA". It matches the Rfam family "Eukaryotic small subunit ribosomal RNA", at positions 1470 to 1796 of the family's 1831-position model. The record is from RNAcentral.